Molecule: ribosomal RNA, 939 nt
Filed under: uncultured bacterium
Lineage: Bacteria
Description: bacterial SSU rRNA
Rfam family: Bacterial small subunit ribosomal RNA
Source: RNAcentral
AGAGUUUGAUCCUGGCUCAGAUUGAACGCUGGCGGUAUGCUUAACACAUGCAAGUCGAACGGUAACAGGCAAAAGCUUGCUUUUGCGCUGACGAGUGGCGGACGGGUGAGUAACGCGUAGGAAUCUGCCUAACAGCGGGGGACAACUUGGAGAAAUCCAAGCUAAUACCGCAUACGCCCUACGGGGGAAAGAAGGCCUCUUCUUGAAAGCUUUCACUGUUAGAUGAGCCUGCGUUAGAUUAGUUCGUUGGUGAGGUAAUGGCUCACCAAGGCGACGAUCUAUAGCUGGUCUGAGAGGAUGACCAGCCACACUGGGACUGAGACACGGCCCAGACUCCUACGGGAGGCAGCAGUGGGGAAUAUUGGACAAUGGGGGCAACCCUGAUCCAGCAAUACCGCGUGUGUGAAGAAGGCCUUAGGGUUGUAAAGCACUUUCAAUUUGGGAAGAAAAGCAUUCGGUUAAUACCCGGGUGUCUUGACGGUACCUUUACAAGAAGCACCGGCUAACUCCGUGCCAGCAGCCGCGGUAAUACGGAGGGUGCAAGCGUUAAUCGGAAUUACUGGGCGUAAAGCGCACGCAGGCGGUUUGUUAAGUCAGAUGUGAAAGCCCCGGGCUCAACCUGGGAACUGCAUUUGAAACUGGCAGACUAGAGUAUGGUAGAGAGAAGUGGAAUUCCACAUGUAGCGGUGAAAUGCGUAGAGAUGUGGAGGAACAUCAGUGGCGAAGGCGACUUCUUGGACCAAUACUGACGCUCAGGUGCGAAAGCGUGGGGAGCAAACAGGAAUAGAUACCCUGGUAGUCCACGCCGUAAACGAUGUCUACUAGCCGUUGGGGGACUUGAUCCUUUAGUGGCGCAGCUAACGCCUUAAGUAGACCGCCUGGGGAGUACGGCCGCAAGGCUAAAAGUCAAAGAAAUUGACGGGGGCCCGCACAAGCGGU